This is a non-coding RNA of Coturnix japonica (Japanese quail), 309 nucleotides long. The record is from RefSeq and is a predicted model, not a curated record. NCBI's taxonomy places the organism in Eukaryota, Metazoa, Chordata, Aves, Galliformes, Phasianidae.
GUUUUUGGAGGUUGCUCCUUCACAGAGUUCUGGUGAUGAGCCUCAAUGUUUUCUGUCUAGACUGAAGGCCUCAGAAUUGAAAUUCUCAACUUUUUAGGGUGUGAUCUUCUGUAAGACUGUAAACCACGUAAUGAUGGAAAAAAAAAGCCGGGCACAAUUUGCUGAUUCACGCAGCAUAGAGAGCAGAUAUGUCCUAAAUUUCUGCAGAGUAAAAACGUCAGCAAUUUUCAGCAUGAAGAGACAGAAAGCUUGACUAAAAAUACAUAAAAGCACAUUUGGAAUAAAGUGAAAAACAACCUAAAAAUGUUA